Long non-coding RNA from Phyllopteryx taeniolatus (common seadragon), 599 nucleotides. RefSeq lists it as uncharacterized. Lineage: Eukaryota; Metazoa; Chordata; Actinopteri; Syngnathiformes; Syngnathidae. The record is from RefSeq and is a predicted model, not a curated record. The transcript has 3 exons.
CACGUUGCGUGCCGCCAGAUCUCUGUGGACAAAGUUGUUGGCUUCCAGGUACUCCAUGGCCUCGCACACAUCACUGAAGGGGAGGACACAUUAUUUUUUUUGCAAGGAGCUGAUUGGACCACAACCACUAUCACUUGAGAUGACGAUAACUCACAGAGAGAACUUCAGUAAGCAGUCGCCACCAAGCACAGUCCGUCCUCGGGAACGCAAGUAGUCCACCAGGCUGCCCUGUUGCACAAGAGGAACCUUUUUAAAACUUUGUUCUGCUCGACUGAUCAAGUCUGAUUCUCAAUAAACCUCAAUUAUAAUACCACAGUGGAACCUUCAAAACUCCACUGUGACCCAGUAAAACUGUUUCGGCAUAAAAGGGAUACAGAUUUUCCAUUCUGCUUGACCUAACACCCAAACAGGACAAAAAAAUAAUAAUAGGAGAUCUGCAUGGAGGAAUGGGCCAAAAUACCAGUAACAGUGUGUGAAAACCUUGUGACGACUUACAGAAAACGUUUGACCUCUGUCAUUGCCAACAAGGGGUAUAUAAAGCACUGAGAAUAAAUGUUGUUAUUGACCAAAUACCUAUUUUCCACCAUAAUUUGCUAAUA